CUGAGUCAUAUGAUGAUUAGAAGCAUAGUUCACAUGAAGUUAUUUGUGAUUUUUUUUUUUAGUCUUUCGCUCCUAUCUGAUGACUCUC
RNAcentral lists this small nucleolar RNA (88 nucleotides) under Solanum tuberosum (potato). RNAcentral's name for it is "snoRNA snosnR60_Z15". It matches the Rfam family "Small nucleolar RNA snR60/Z15/Z230/Z193/J17". Rfam says of the family: The members of this family belong to the C/D class of snoRNAs which contain the C (UGAUGA) and D (CUGA) box motifs. The record is from Rfam by way of RNAcentral. Lineage: Eukaryota; Viridiplantae; Streptophyta; Magnoliopsida; Solanales; Solanaceae.